AUACAUGCAAGUCGAGCGGACAGAUGGGAGCUUGCUCCCUGAUGUUAGCGGCGGACGGGUGAGUAACACGUGGGUAACCUGCCUGUAAGACUGGGAUAACUCCGGGAAACCGGGGCUAAUACCGGAUGCUUGUUUGAACCGCAUGGUUCAAACAUAAAAGGUGGCUUCGGCUACCACUUACAGAUGGACCCGCGGCGCAUUAGCUAGUUGGUGAGGUAAUGGCUCACCAAGGCAACGAUGCGUAGCCGACCUGAGAGGGUGAUCGGCCACACUGGGACUGAGACACGGCCCAGACUCCUACGGGAGGCAGCAGUAGGGAAUCUUCCGCAAUGGACGAAAGUCUGACGGAGCAACGCCGCGUGAGUGAUGAAGGUUUUCGGAUCGUAAAGCUCUGUUGUUAGGGAAGAACAAGUACCGUUCGAAUAGGGCGGUACCUUGACGGUACCUAACCAGAAAGCCACGGCUAACUACGUGCCAGCAGCCGCGGUAAUACGUAAGGUGGCAAGCGUUGUCCGGAAUUAUUGGGCGUAAAGGGCUCGCAGGCGGUUCCUUAAGUCUGAUGUGAAAGCCCCCGGCUCAACCGGGGAGGGUCAUUGGAAACUGGGGAACUUGAGUGCAGAAAGAGGAGAGUGGAAUUCCACGUGUAGCGGUGAAAUGCGUAGAGAUGUGGAGGAACACCAGUGGCGAAGGCGACUCUCUGGUCUGUAACUGACGCUGAGGAGCGAAAGCGUGGGGAGCGAACAGGAUUAGAUACCCUGGUAGUCCACGCCGUAAACGAUGAGUGCUAAGUGUUAGGGGGUUUCCGCCCCUUAGUGCUGCAGCUAACGCAUUAAGCACUCCGCCUGGGGAGUACGGUCGCAAGACUGAAACUCAAAGGAAUUGACGGGGGCCCGCACAAGCGGUGGAGCAUGUGGUUUAAUUUGAAGCAACGCGAAGAACCUUACCAGGUCUUGACAUCCUCUGACAAUCCUAGAGAUAGGACGUCCCCUUCGGGGGCAGAGUGACAGGUGGUGCAUGGUUGUCGUCAGCUCGUGUCGUGAGAUGUUGGGUUAAGUCCCGCAACGAGCGCAACCCUUGAUCUUAGUUGCCAGCAUUCAGUUGGGCACUCUAAGGUGACUGCCGGUGACAAACCGGAGGAAGGUGGGGAUGACGUCAAAUCAUCAUGCCCCUUAUGACCUGGGCUACACACGUGCUACAAUGGACAGAACAAAGGGCAGCGAAACCGCGAGGUUAAGCCAAUCCCACAAAUCUGUUCUCAGUUCGGAUCGCAGUCUGCAACUCGACUGCGUGAAGCUGGAAUCGCUAGUAAUCGCGGAUCAGCAUGCCGCGGUGAAUACGUUCCCGGGCCUUGUACACACCGCCCGUCACACCACGAGAGUUUGUAACACCCGAAGUCGGUGAGGUAACCUUUAUGGAGCCAGCCGCCGAAGGUGGGACAGAUGAUUGGGGUGAAGU
This 1455-nucleotide ribosomal RNA is filed under the name Bacillus subtilis. RNAcentral describes it as "16S ribosomal RNA". It matches the Rfam family "Bacterial small subunit ribosomal RNA". Lineage: Bacteria; Bacillati; Bacillota; Bacilli; Caryophanales; Bacillaceae. The record is from RNAcentral.